RNAcentral lists this ribosomal RNA (497 nucleotides) under uncultured bacterium. RNAcentral describes it as "partial 16S ribosomal RNA". It matches the Rfam family "Bacterial small subunit ribosomal RNA", at positions 28 to 507 of the family's 1533-position model. The record is from RNAcentral.
GAUGAACGCUGGCGGCGUGCCUAAUACAUGCAAGUCGAGCGAACAGACCAGGAGCUUGCUCCUCUUACGUUAGCGGCGGGCGGGUGAGUAACACGUGGAUCACCUACCUAUAAGACUGGGAUAACUUCGGGAAACCGGAGCUAAUACCGGAUAAUAUCUUGAACCGCAUGGUUCAAUAGUGAAAGACGGUUUUGCUGUCACUUAUAGAUGGAUCCGCGCGGCAUUAGCUAGUUGGUAAGGUAACGGCUUACCAAGGCAACGAUGCGUAGCCGACCUGAGAGGGUGAUCGGCCACCCUGGAACUGAGACACGGUCCAGACUCCUACGGGAGGCAGCAGUAGGGAAUCUUCCGCAAUGGGCGAAAGCCUGACGGAGCAACGCCGCGUGAGUGAUGAAGGUCUUCGGAUCGUAAAACUCUGUUAUUAGGGAAGAACAAAUGUGUAAGUAAAUAUGCACGUCUUGACGGUACCUAAUCAGAAAGCCACGGCUAACUACGUG